This is a long non-coding RNA of Oreochromis niloticus (Nile tilapia), 2744 nucleotides long. Lineage: Eukaryota; Metazoa; Chordata; Actinopteri; Cichliformes; Cichlidae. The record is from Ensembl.
GGUCGAAGGUCACCUGGUCCAGCCCUAACUAUAUGCUUUAGCAAAAAGGAAAGUUUUAAGCCUAAUCUUGAAAGUAGAGAUAGUGUCUGUCUCCUGAAUCCAAACUGGAAGCUGGUUCCACAGAAGAGGGGCCUGAAAACUGAAGGCUCUGCCUCCCAUUCUACUUUUAAAUACUCUAGGAACAACAAGUAGGCCUGCAGUGUGAGAGCGAAGUGCUCUAAUAGGGUGAUAUGGUACUAUCUAAUCCAAGCUGGCCCGCUCUCCUGAGAAGCAACGAGCAGAAGUCAGCCAGCAGUAGCCACAGGGGUACAGCAGCCUCUGUGCAGUCUGUAGGCUAAAAGCUGCAGUUCUGGAUAAAACGUCCAUUAGUCCUUGUCCCCCCUCUGACACAGGAAGAUACAGGGCCAAUGCUGACCAGACCAGACAAACUUCACCAGAAGCUGCUGCACCUCUUCCAGACGACCAGGUGGUGGCACUAAAACAGUAAAUGUGUGCAUAAGGAUGAGGCAGCUACGUAUCUACUACAUCUAGAUACCAACGAGACAUCCGCUCUGAGCUGGCUGACAAACCCCUGCUCUUUCAGAAAAUAACAACCGCUGUAUUCAUCCAUGAAGCGUAUGAAAUGUUUCCAUGUCCCACCUGCUCUCCUACAGCCAACAGCACCUGCUCGAGGGUGGUGCUCGGCUGCAGCUCCACCCUGACUCCAUGCUUCAAGGAUGGCGUCCCACUGGACGCCAUCUCUGCCAAGAACACAACAAACUAACAAUCACAGACAGCUCUGAAACGAUCACACAACAAACACAGGAAGAAAACUGAAAAAGCAUUUAAUGAAAAACUCAGUCUCACUCACACCCACCAAACUCCCAGCAUGCAGUGCAAGCGAGUGAGAUAAACAGAGAGAGAGAGAGAGAGGCUAUUUUGGCUUCAUGUAAAAAGCCUCCACAGUAACAGGAAGUCACGAUGCCUCAGAUGAGCUUUAUUCUCAUGUUUUUAGUGAUGAGAUUUUCUGCUUCUGAGGAAGUGAAGAAGAACCUGACGGGCACUGUGGGAGGAAACAUCACUCUACCUGCACCUGUGCUGGAGAAAGGAUAUCUGUUAUAUGGAAGAACGAUUAUUGCUGAUGUGAUUAAGGGAGAAUUUCAAGUAUUUGUGGAAAAGUACAAGAACCGACUUCAGUGGGACAGAAACUCUGGACUCUUUACACUCACAGAGCUGCAGAGGAACGACUCAGGGAUUUAUACUGUCGACUCUAAAACAGGAAAAGUAAUUUUUAUUCUCCAUCAACUUUCGUCCCCAGACUCUGUACCGACUCCUGCAGUGAAGAAAGUGAGUGUGAGCUCUGAGAGCUGCUCCUUACUGUGUUUGGUGGACAGAGAGACCACACUGCUGUGGUUUAAAGACGAGCAGAGACUGAACCAGAGCAGCUCUGCGCUCUCUCUGCCUCUCACUGUGCACAAACAGGACUUCAGCUCCUCUUACAGAUGUGUGGCUGCAAACCCUGCAGACGAGAAAACUCUUCCUGUCCCUGUGAAUACGACCUGUGGAGACACAGACGACACAGGUAAGACUGAAUCUGCUGUGAACCUUCGUGUUUCAGGCUGAUGUGCUGAUGUGAACGUGUGUGUCAGGUGACAGGAACACAGACUCCUGGUUGUUCCUGGUUCCCAUGGCUGUGUGUUGGAGUGCUGUUGUUGUUUCGAUGGUUCUGAUGGAGGGGAAGAGAGAGGCUGAGACGGCUUCACCAUCAGCUGUGCACUCACAUCAGUACGAACUCUGCUGCCUACAUGAUAACAAAGCACACAUACACUGUGUGUGUUUUAUAUUAUCCCUCCUUAUUUUACAUAUAUCUUCCUUAUUUUCUAUUUCAUCUUAACAGGUGUGACCUUCACUGAAACACUGGAAAUAACAACGCUUUUAGGUGCAGUUUGAAAUCGUCUUCUAAACCCGAGGAGAGGAACGUGAUCCAGAGCACAGCUGACCUCAAAAUGCAUGUUUUAGAGCAGAUUUUAGCUCUAAAUAUAUUAUUUCAUGCAGGUUUUCCCAGCAUAUAUCUUAUUACCAUUACUCUUCUGACUACACACAGUUAUACCCCCUGCCCCUCUGUGAUUUAAACGCAGCUCACACAGUAUAAAGGCUAACUCCAGCUGGAUGGAUAAAAUCGAAACAUAAAAGAAACAUAAAUGUUCUUUUGAAAUGUUGCACAGAUUUGAAACUCUGAGGUGAUCACAGGCCUCAUUCUCACAUGAGCAGCAUAGUUAAAACCUGCUUUUUACCAUCAGUGAAUGUGCAUGAAAUGCUGAAUGCUUCUGAUCCUGGAGGAUUGUAACUCACUGCUCACAGGAAUCACAAAACAGCAGCAGACUCUGCUUCAGCUCCUGGGUUUGAGUUUAAAAUGGGAAUCCGUCUACGAGCUGCACUGAGAUCAUCACAUCAGGUUUCCAGUUAGUUUUGUGGUUGAUUUUUAAAUCUCAGGGAUGUUUUUAAGGCCUGUGUGUCUGGGAGCUCAGUAUCUCUCUGCUGCUCUCACCUCCAUCGCGUUUAAAGGAGAAGUGGAGAGGAGAGGUGGACUGAUGUUUCCUCAACUCAUCUCUAAUCACACCUGAGAGGUUAAAGGUCAGCAUCCAGCCUUUUGUGUUUGAAAUGAUGAAGAGUACUAUAAACUAACAGAGUUUAUCUACAUGUGCUUUUGGUAAAAAUAAAUCCUCUUUAUUAUUAAUCAAAGAAGAGUUUCUGUUGUAUUGUUG